Molecule: ribosomal RNA, 315 nt
Filed under: uncultured bacterium
Lineage: Bacteria
Description: bacterial SSU rRNA
Rfam family: Bacterial small subunit ribosomal RNA
Source: RNAcentral
GAUAAACGCUGGCGGCGCACAUAAGACAUGCAAGUCGAACGGACUUAACCAUUAGUUUACUAUUGGAGCGGUUAGUGGCGGACUGGUGAGUAACACGUAAGCAACCUGCCUAUUAGAGGGGAAUAACAGUGAGGAAUCACUGCUAAUACCGCAUAUGCUUACACUAUCACAUGAUAGAGUGAGGAAAGGAGCAAUCCACUAGUAGAUGGGCUCGCGUCUGAUUAGCUAGUUGGUGGGGUAAUAGCCUACCAAGGCGACGAUUGGUAGCCGGACUGAGAGGUUGAACGGCCACAUUGGGACUGAGACACGGCCCAG